GACGAACGCUGGCGGCGUGCUUAACACAUGCAAGUCGAACGGAAAGGCCCUGCUUUUGUGGGGUGCUCGAGUGGCGAACGGGUGAGUAACACGUGAGUAACCUGCCCUUGACUUUGGGAUAACUUCAGGAAACUGGGGCUAAUACCGGAUAGGAGCUCCUGCUGCAUGGUGGGGGUUGGAAAGUUUCGGCGGUUGGGGAUGGACUCGCGGCUUAUCGGCUUGUUGGUGGGGUAGUGGCUUACCAAGGCUUUGACGGGUAGCCGGCCUGAGAGGGUGACCGGCGACAUUGGGACUGAGGUACGGCCCAGACUCCUACGGGAGGCAGCAGUGGGGAAUAUUGCACAAUGGGCGGAAGCCUGAUGCGGCAGCGCCGCGUGCGGGAUGACGGCCUUCGGGUUGUAAACCGCUUUCGCCUGUGACGAAGCGUGAGUGACGGUAAUGGGUAAAGAAGCACCGGCUAACUACGUG
This 468-nucleotide ribosomal RNA is filed under the name uncultured bacterium. Its description in RNAcentral is "partial 16S ribosomal RNA". It matches the Rfam family "Bacterial small subunit ribosomal RNA", at positions 28 to 507 of the family's 1533-position model. The record is from RNAcentral.